This 493-nucleotide ribosomal RNA is filed under the name uncultured bacterium. Its description in RNAcentral is "partial 16S ribosomal RNA". It matches the Rfam family "Bacterial small subunit ribosomal RNA", at positions 28 to 507 of the family's 1533-position model. The record is from RNAcentral.
GACGAACGCUGGCGGCGUGCUUAACACAUGCAAGUCGAACGGUGAAGGGACCGGUUUUUGCUGGUUCUGGAUGAGUGGCGCACGGGUGAGUAACACGUGAGUAACCUGCCCCCUUCUUCUGGAUAACCGCAUGAAAGUGUGUCUAAUACGGGAUAUUCUGCGCCUGCUGCAUGGUGGGUGUGGGGACGAUAUUGUUUCGGUGUGGGGUGGGCUCGCGGCCUCGCAGCUUGGUGGUGGAGUGAUGGCCUAACCAGGCGAUGACGGGUAGCCGGACGGGGAGGGUCGGCGGCCACAGUGGGACGACGAGGCCGACAAGACUACUACGGGAAGCAGCAGUGGAGAAUAUGGCACAGGGGAAAGACGGCUGAUGCAGCGACGCCGCAUGAGUGAUGGACGCCGUCGCGUUGUAAACCUCUUUCGCGAGUGAAGCAGGGCUGUCGCUUUUGUGCGUGGGUUGACGGUAGCUGGACAAGAAGCGCCGGCUAACUACGUG